This 424-nucleotide ribosomal RNA is filed under the name uncultured prokaryote. RNAcentral describes it as "bacterial SSU rRNA". It matches the Rfam family "Bacterial small subunit ribosomal RNA", at positions 355 to 796 of the family's 1533-position model. The record is from RNAcentral.
UGGGGAAUAUUGGACAAUGGGCGCAAGCCUGAUCCAGCCAUGCCGCGUGGAUGAAGAAGGCCCUAGGGUUGUAAAGUCCUUUCGGUGGUGAAGAUAAUGACGGUAACCACACAAGAAGCCCCGGCUAAUUUCGUGCCAGCAGCCGCGGUAAUACGAAAGGGGCUAGCGUUGUUCGGAAUUACUGGGCGUAAAGCGCGCGUAGGCGGCCGUGUAAGUUGGGGGUGAAAUCCCGGAGCUCAACUCCGGAACUGCCUCCAAAACUACACAGCUAGAGGAUGCGAGAGGAUAGUGGAAUUCCGAGUGUAGAGGUGAAAUUCGUAGAUAUUCGGAAGAACACCAGUGGCGAAGGCGACUGUCUGGCGCAUUUCUGACGCUGAGGCGCGAAAGCGUGGGGAGCAAACAGGAUUAGAUACCCCCGUAGUCC